UUGUAUAAAUUGUUCAAAUAAAUUUUCAUUUUCGUUUUGUAUUUUUUGAAGAAGUGUUAUGAAUUUAUAUAUAAUUUAAAAAUAACUAUUUAAGUGACUAUGUUAAGAUUCAGUGAUAUUGACCAUAAUUCAGGUGGUCUCACUUGUGGAUUUUAUCCUCGAUGUUUCACUGAUCUAUCAGUAACAUAAAUUGUUUUGAAAUAUUCUAUUAAUUUUUGUUCCCUUUCAACAUUCGAAAAUUCAGUUUUAAGCUGUUUCCCACUUUCAUUAACCUAAAUAAAUAAUAUAUAUUAUAUAUAUAUAUGUAUAUAUUUAUUAAAAAAAUAGGUGAAUAUGUGUUAUUAAUUAUAUUAAUGUAUUUAUUCACUUUCGUGAUGUAUACGUAUUAUGGAAACUGGAAGGAUAGCAUACAUUUCCUUAAUUAAAAAAUCUUGACCAGAAAUACUUUUUUCUUAAUUCAAGAGGAGCGUUAAAAUGUUUAACACAAUAAGGGUCAGUUAAUUUACCUUUUCUCUUUCUUUUAAUAAGUUGUUUUGAUGCAUUUUUACUAAUUUGUGAAGAGAUAAUAGAUGAAAUCCAAAUUAUUUGUUCCUGGUAAAUAAUAAUUUUGAGAUUGCAAUGCAGCAGUUUUGAUUAUAUUUUUAAUUAUUUUGCACUCAUUUUUUAUAGGAUUUUGUUUGUGUGAAUGAUCCAUUUAUAUACACGUUUCGUCUUUAAUAUGUUCAUUGUUUUUAAUAGGUAAUUGUUCGAAAUGUAGCACCACAUCUUUUAACACAGGUCCAAUAGUAAACAUUAUCAUUAUCCAGUUUACGAAAAUGCUAUUUAUUAAACAUGAAUUCAUAUUCAUCAACUAACAACAUGUUUUUCUCGUGUAUAGUAGAUAUUAAUUUUUUAAUACACCUCGACAUAAUUUUCGUUCACUAUUUCAUUACCAGGAUCGUCUGACAAUUGUGACAGUCGAUUACAAUAACAAGUUAAUUAAAUGUAUUGCUAUAUCAGUCUAAUGGUCGGUAUAUACUAAAAUAUCUUAAUAUCCAUACCAAUAUAAUAAUUGCAAAGUUUUCGAACACAAAUUUCUUCAAGCAAUAAUUCAUUCGAACAUAUUUUUUUUCGAACACAUCUCAUUCGAACAUAUCGUUUUCGAAUACAUAACCUGACAAUGUGUAUCGGGUCAUACGUAAAGAUUGCGAAUGUUUAAAGGUACGAUAUUGCUCACACCACGAUAUAGAGAAGAUAAGGUGACAUCACUUGUACGGAUUCCGGUCGCAAUUUUUCUAGGCAGUUUGGUAGUACAUAUUAUUUUGUCUCGUGUAGGUAGCGCCACCAUUCGCCGAAAGUCCAGUUUUUAUAUUGUGAAUACAUUGUUUUUAAUGUAAAAUAUUAAAAAUGAUAUACAUUUUUGUCAUUUUUGAUACUAUUACUUUAAUAUUAGAAAUAUUAACCAAGUAAGGAUUAUUUUUAAGUAAUUAUUCUAUUACAUUAUAGGUGCAAUGUAAAAUACUUUUGACUUUUUGUUAUUACUGGCAUAGCAAGUUUUGCAUUCUGGCCCAAAAUAUUUGAUAGACAUUUUAACAAAUUAAGAAUAUACGCAAUAUCAUUUAACAAACUACAAACCAUCAAUUUUUCUUAAAUAUGCUGGAUUUAAAGAUUCUUAUCUUGAUUUUCACAUGAAAGAUUCGUAUUCACAAAAAAAUUAUCGUACGUAUUUCAUUGUAUUAUUGUUAAUUCAGUUUAAUUAAUUAUAACUUUCAGAAAUAAGUAUGCAAUAGUUCUGUAAACUGUAGCUUUUAUCAAUCUACAGAUUACUGAAUUAUGACUUGUCUAUAAUAAGCAGGUUAAGUAACUAUUAUUCAGCUAUAACAUUUUGGCCACAAAAAGUGAGCCCUGAUGUCAGUGCUACAAGUGGAUAAUUUCAAUUGGAGGUGAUCAAAAUAAUAGGCGAAAUUUUUAAAUUAUGUACAGUUUCUACUCAACAGUUGACAACAAUAAAACGUACAAACAGAGAACCCCUGGUACCAAAAAUAUUUGGCACCAUAGUUAAGAUAAAACAUUUUAGUAGAAUAUUUCAUACAAGUGUAACACCUAUCUAUAAAACACAAUGAAAAGUUCACUGAAACGGAAUAUUGGGUUUGGAACUUAUAAUUUUUUUGAGAUUUGAUAUUCAGUGGUAAAUUAACGAAGUCUUGUUAAUUGAUUUUGAUACUUUGUUGUACUUUCAAAACGAAUAAUCGUAGUCCACACAAUCUUGAAAUAUUAAAAAAAACUUUUAUAUUAGCGUUUCCCAUACAAAGUAACAUUUUUAAACUAUAUUUACCCUUUUUGAGCUAUGUAUAGUCAUGAGAAAUUUUUAAAAUUUUGUAAAUUAUUUUUCAGUUUGAAAUCCCUAAACCUAUUUCUUUUCAGUGCUAACAUUAUACAUUUUACUAGACAAUUACCCACAAGUGUUUUUAACUCCAUAAAAUGAUAUAAGACUAAGGAUGAAGGAAUCGUCGAUUUCGUUAUUUAAUACUUUAUUAAGGAAUAUAGAGUAAGAAUAUUGUCUUAGGAUAUAGAGUGGCAAUUAGUUAAAUUAAGUGACAUUCCAUUUAAUUUACAACAAUGGUUAAUAUUAUCUAAAUCUUUUUGUAAGAGAAGUGAAUCAUUUUGACAGUUUAUAAAUUUAAAAAUGUUUGCAUCAUCAGCGAAGCGCAGAAUAUUUUAAUAAUUCAAGGCUAAAACAAUAUCAUUAAUAAAUAAAUUAAACAGAAGAGGUGAGAGGUGGUCACCCUGUGGGACACGUGAAAUAACUGGAAUAACUUGUCCACCUUUUUUAUUUUUUGUAUUUUCCAACGUUUUCAAUGUAUUAUUGGAAAACAUAUAUUAGUGCAACCUACGGUAUAACUAAAAUACAAACCAAUUACGAAUUACAAAAUAUGUUUAUAACGAAAUAUCCUAAGAAAUAUAUAUAUACAUUUAUGUGUCCCAUCGGAGAUUAUCCAAGCUCAGAAUUAUUUUUAAUCGAAUGCCUACAAUGAUUAUUACCAUUGAAUUAAAAUUUAACACUCCUAAUACCGUGAUAUUGUACUUAAUGUGACUAUAGGUAUAUUUGGAACGUAUUAUACAUUAGAGCAAGUUAUCCGUAUUGAAUGUAUUGAACUAAAAGUUGUCCAAUAUUAAAUUCAUCACACUACACCAUAUAGUUAAUGUUAUACCUAAUUUAUCAAUAUAUAGUACAGAUUGUAAGUGACUACCAAUAAUUAAUUUAUAGCAUUACUGUAUUUGCAAGUCACGGAAUGAAAUUUUGAAAUUAGGUACUGUUGUGGUCGCCAGUAUAGGUAUCUAUGAUACAUAUCACAAAAAAUUAAAUCCCGGGAAGACGUUAAGUAUGAUUGUAUAAUAUUACAUGGUUAAAAUAUGCAGCCUUGUCAUAUUGCGUGUGUCUGUUGUUUAAUGCGUUGUAAUGUUAACAUCACUAACAUAUUUUUCAAGAAGAUUAGUCUCAUGUCCUAAAAAUAUAAGUGGGAACAUACUGAAUAGUUAGCAAAGCAGGAAAUACUGAAGACUGAAGACUUUUGAGCUAUGUAUAGUCAUGAGAAAUUUUUAAAAUUUUGUAAAUUAUUUUUCAGUUUGAAAUCCCUAAACAUAUUUCUUUUCAGUUCUAACAUUAAACAUUUUACUAGACAAUUACCCACAAGUUUUUCUACCUUCAUAAAAAAAAAGUUUACCCGAAAGUUAUGCUAUUUAUAUAAUAUAGAUAAAAAUAAGAUAGAGAUAUUUCAUGCUAGGAUUACACAAUGCCUCCACCCAGAAUAAUUUUUUAUAAGAAAUGUGUUAUCAUUGAUUUUAAAUAUAACACUUACAUGACAACGACAUGCUUGACAACUACGCUGUACAGCAUAUCGGUAUCCACUUGUCCACCUUUUUUUAUUUUUUGUAUUUUCCAACGUUUUCAAUGUAUUGUUGGAAAACAUAUAUUAGUACAACCUACGGUAUAACUAAAAUAGAAACCAAUUACGAAUUACAAAAUAUGUUUAUAACGAAAUAUCCUAAGAAAUAUAUAUAUGUUACCGGCAAUAUGGAUAAUCCGGUAUUUUGCAAAAUACCUAGGCAUUAUA
Molecule: long non-coding RNA, 4094 nt
Filed under: Acyrthosiphon pisum (pea aphid)
Lineage: Eukaryota; Metazoa; Arthropoda; Insecta; Hemiptera; Aphididae
Description: uncharacterized LOC107885589
Source: RNAcentral